Molecule: ribosomal RNA, 529 nt
Filed under: uncultured bacterium
Lineage: Bacteria
Description: bacterial SSU rRNA
Rfam family: Bacterial small subunit ribosomal RNA
Source: RNAcentral
UAAGUGUUAGAGGGCUUCCACCCUUUAGUGCUGCAGCUAACGCAUUAAGCACUCCGCCUGGGGAGUACGGCCGCAAGGCUGAAACUCAAAGGAAUUGACGGGGGCCCGCACAAGCGGUGGAGCAUGUGGUUUAAUUCGAAGCAACGCGAAGAACCUUACCAGGUCUUGACAUCCUUCGCUACCUCUAGAGAUAGAGGGUUCCCCUUCGGGGGACGGAGUGACAGGUGGUGCAUGGUUGUCGUCAGCUCGUGUCGUGAGAUGUUGGGUUAAGUCCCGCAACGAGCGCAACCCUUGACCUUAGUUGCCAGCAUUCAGUUGGGCACUCUAAGGUGACUGCCGGUGACAAACCGGAGGAAGGUGGGGAUGACGUCAAAUCAUCAUGCCCCUUAUGACCUGGGCUACACACGUGCUACAAUGGAUGGUACAAAGGGUCGCGAAACCGCGAGGUGGAGCCAAUCCCAAAAAACCAUUCUCAGUUCGGAUUGCAGGCUGCAACUCGCCUGCAUGAAGCCGGAAUCGCUAGUAAUCG